GAGUUUGAUCAUGGCUCAGGAUGAACGCUGACAGAAUGCUUAACACAUGCAAGUCAACUUGAAUUUGGGUUUUUAACUUAGAUUUGGGUGGCGGACGGGUGAGUAACGCGUAAAGAACUUGCCUCACAGCUAGGGACAACAUUUAGAAAUGAAUGCUAAUACCUGAUAUUAUGAUUUUAAGGCAUCUUAGAAUUAUGAAAGCUAUAAGCACUGUGAGAGAGCUUUGCGUCCCAUUAGCUAGUUGGAGAGGUAACAGCUCACCAAGGCGAUGAUGGGUAGCCGGCCUGAGAGGGUGAACGGCCACAAGGGGACUGAGACACGGCCCUUACUCCUACGGGAGGCAGCAGUGGGGAAUAUUGGACAAUGGACCGAGAGUCUGAUCCAGCAAUUCUGUGUGCACGAUGAAGUUUUUCGGAAUGUAAAGUGCUUUCAGUUGGGAAGAAACAAAUGACGGUACCAACAGAAGAAGUGACGGCUAAAUACGUGCCAGCAGCCGCGGUAAUACGUAUGUCACGAGCGUUAUCCGGAUUUAUUGGGCGUAAAGCGCGUCUAGGUGGUUAUGUAAGUCUGAUGUGAAAAUGCAGGGCUCAACUCUGUAUUGCGUUGGAAACUGUAUAACUAGAGUACUGGAGAGGUAAGCGGAACUACAAGUGUAGAGGUGAAAUUCGUAGAUAUUUGUAGGAAUGCCGAUGGGGAAGCCAGCUUACUGGACAGAUACUGACGCUAAAGCGCGAAAGCGUGGGUAGCAAACAGGAUUAGAUACCCUGGUAGUCCACGCUGUAAACGAUGAUUACUAGGUGUUGGGGGUCGAACCUCAGCGCCCAAGCAAACGCGAUAAGUAAUCCGCCUGGGGAGUACGUACGCAAGUAUGAAACUCAAAGGAAUUGACGGGGACCCGCACAAGCGGUGGAGCAUGUGGUUUAAUUCGACGCAAACGCGAGGAACCUUACCAGCGUUUGACAUCUUAGGAAUGAGAUAGAGAUAUUUCAGUGUCCCUUCGGGGAAACCUAAAGACAGGUGGUGCAUGGCUGUCGUCAGCUCGUGUCGUGAGAUGUUGGGUUAAAGUCCCGCAACGAGCGCGAACCCCUUUCGUAUGUUACCAUCAUUAAAGUUGGGGACUCAUGCGAUACUGCCUACGAUGAGUAGGAGGAAGGUGGGGAUGACGUCGAAGUCAUCGUGCCCCUUAUACGCUGGGCUACGCGCGUGCUACGAUGGGUAGAACGAGAAGAAGGUU
Molecule: ribosomal RNA, 1234 nt
Filed under: uncultured bacterium
Lineage: Bacteria
Description: bacterial SSU rRNA
Rfam family: Bacterial small subunit ribosomal RNA
Source: RNAcentral